Long non-coding RNA from Coregonus clupeaformis (lake whitefish), 135 nucleotides. RefSeq lists it as uncharacterized. The record is from RefSeq and is a predicted model, not a curated record. NCBI's taxonomy places the organism in Eukaryota, Metazoa, Chordata, Actinopteri, Salmoniformes, Salmonidae. The transcript is spliced from 3 exons.
ACCUGAAUAUCUCCACUCUCCUAGACAGACUGCAGGGUGGGAGAUGCAACAAUGGCCUUGAGAACAGCAGGAUGUGUGUUGGUGGUCUUUCUCUGGUAUGUGGAAGCAACUACGGCAACAAAGUGUGAAGAAAAA